UGCAUCUGCAGCUCAUGAGGAUGAGAACCUCCGGGGGCAGGGAGGUUCGACUCGAGCGAAGCGAGAGAACGUUGCGCCAGCAACGGCCCGCAGGGCGA
This 98-nucleotide small RNA is filed under the name Escherichia coli. RNAcentral's name for it is "partial RtT sRNA". It matches the Rfam family "RtT RNA", at positions 1 to 94 of the family's 130-position model. From Rfam's summary of the family: This family represents a bacterial cis-regulatory element known as RtT RNA. The exact function of RtT is unknown although it is thought that it may be involved in changing the cellular response in relation to amino acid starvation. The record is from RNAcentral. Lineage: Bacteria; Pseudomonadati; Pseudomonadota; Gammaproteobacteria; Enterobacterales; Enterobacteriaceae.